GAUGAAGAACGUAGCGAAAUGCGAUAAGUAGUGUGAAUUGCAGAAUUCAGUGAAUCAUCGAAUCUUUGAACGCACAUUGCUCCCUUUGGUAUUCCUUAGGGCAUGCCUGUUCGAGCGUCAUUUAAACCUUCAAGCUCAGCUUGGUGAUGGGCGACUGUCCUCCCCUCGCGGGGGGACUCGCCUCAAAAACAUUGGCGGCCGGUACAUUGGCUUCGAGCGCAGCAGAAACGCGGUCUCGAGCCCGGUGGAUCGGCUCCCAUAAGCCUAUUCUUUUAUUUUGACCUCGGAUCAGGUAGGGAUACCCGCUGAACUUAAGCAUAUCAAUAAGCGGAGGA
RNAcentral lists this unclassified non-coding RNA (335 nucleotides) under soil metagenome. RNAcentral's name for it is "partial contains 5.8S ribosomal RNA, internal transcribed spacer 2, and large subunit ribosomal RNA". The stretch from base 1 to 120 matches the Rfam family "5.8S ribosomal RNA", at positions 35 to 154 of the family's 154-position model. The record is from RNAcentral.